Molecule: long non-coding RNA, 626 nt
Organism: Sycon ciliatum
Lineage: Eukaryota; Metazoa; Porifera; Calcarea; Leucosolenida; Sycettidae
Exons: 2
Source: RefSeq, a predicted model, not a curated record
UGCAUUUUUCACACUAGCCAAAAUAAUUGUCUACAUUUUCUAGUAUCUCUUUUAUCUCUCUCUAAACGAAAUUAGAUCAGUGUUUUUGGGAUCAUUGUGGUUCUUUACUGGUCGCGUCCAGUGGACGCCUUGUGACUGCGAUGGCAGCCCAAACGCACGUGUUUAAAACUAUCAAUGGCUAUACAACUUGGCGCAACUCUCAUAUGAGAUACAAUUUGUCAGUCAUUCAUAUGUUCCCUUACCCUGUGCAGAAAGUGAUCUAUUCGAGAGAACGAGUAUAUAUUAAGGGCAAGCCACAACCAAGGUUCUUCCCUGGAGCAGUACCUCAGAGAGUGAGACACUUGGCGAUCGAGGGCUAUCCUGUUCCAACAACAAUCCCCAGAACACUACUUGAAGUUCCUGACGAUGACCGGUUUCACAUCUUGAUGCAAAGAGAAAGGAAAAUCCGCGAGAAGAUGAAGGAAAUGCCUAUGGCAAUUGCACAGUACAAGCAAGAGCGGCAGCAACAAGCUGUAGAGAGACAGGAACGCAAGGAAGAAAGAGCAAGGAAACUGGCUGAGUUCAUGGAAGCAGAAAAGGCAGCUAUCUUGGCUGGAAAGAGACAAAAAUAAACAAGUCACACAGAA